AUACGGAGGGGGUUAGCGUUGUUCGGAAUUACUGGGCGUAAAGCGCACGUAGGCGGACUGGAAAGUUGGGGGUGAAAUCCCGGGGCUCAACCCCGGAACUGCCUCCAAAACUUCCAAUCUAGAGAUCGAGAGAGGUGAGUGGAAUUCCAAGUGUAGAGGUGAAAUUCGUAGAUAUUUGGAGGAACACCAGUGGCGAAGGCGGCUCACUGGCUCGAUACUGACGCUGAGGUGCGAAAGCGUGGGGAGCAAACAGGAUUAGAUACCCUAGUAGUCC
Molecule: ribosomal RNA, 274 nt
Filed under: uncultured bacterium
Lineage: Bacteria
Description: partial 16S ribosomal RNA
Rfam family: Bacterial small subunit ribosomal RNA
Source: RNAcentral